AAUGAACGCUGGCGGCGUGCGUAACACAUGCAAGUCGAACGUGAAAGUCCCCUUCGGGGGGAUGAGUAAAGUGGCAAACGGGUGAGUAACACGUGGGUAACCUGCCCUCUGGUGGGGGAUAACCCUGCGAAAGCGGGGGCUAAUACCGCAUAACAAGUCGCUAAAUAAUUAGUCGACUUCAAAGCCUUCGGGCGCUAGAGGAGGGGCCCGCGUCCCAUUAGCUAGUUGGUAGGGUAACGGCCUACCAAGGCUGCGAUGGGUAGCCGGCCUGAGAGGGUGUCCGGCCACACUGGAACUGAGACACGGUCCAGACUCCUACGGGAGGCAGCAGUGGGGAAUUUUGCGCAAUGGGCGAAAGCCUGACGCAGCGACGCCGCGUGGGUGAUGAAGUUCUUCGGAACGUAAAGCCCUGUCAGGAGGGACGAAGCUCUGACGGUACCUCCAAAGGAAGCCCCGGCUAACUCCGUG
Molecule: ribosomal RNA, 468 nt
Filed under: uncultured bacterium
Lineage: Bacteria
Description: bacterial SSU rRNA
Rfam family: Bacterial small subunit ribosomal RNA
Source: RNAcentral